GAUGAAGAACGCAGCGAAAUGCGAUACGUAAUGUGAAUUGCAGAAUUUAGUGAAUCAUCGAAUCUUUGAACGCACAUUGCGCCCCUUGGUAUUCCGGGGGGCAUGCCUGUUCGAGCGUCAUUUCAACCCUCAAGCUCUGCUUGGUCUUGGGCCGCGCCGGCGACGGCGGGCCUCAAAAACAGUGGCGGCGCCAUCUGGUUCCUCAGCGUAGUAAUUCUUCUCGCUGUUGGGCCCGGGUGGCCGCUGGCCAGCAACCCCAAAUUUUCUAUGGUUGACCUCGGAUCAGGUAGGGAUACCCGCUGAACUUAAGCAUAUCAAUAAGCGGAGGA
This 329-nucleotide unclassified non-coding RNA is filed under the name soil metagenome. RNAcentral's name for it is "partial contains 5.8S ribosomal RNA, internal transcribed spacer 2, and large subunit ribosomal RNA". The stretch from base 1 to 120 matches the Rfam family "5.8S ribosomal RNA", at positions 35 to 154 of the family's 154-position model. The record is from RNAcentral.